CAUUGAUUUGGGGAAUUCUUGAAAUGAGAAUACCUGAUGGCUGGCUGGCAGCCAGGUGAGCGACCUCCUACUCCCAGACCUCAUCUCUGUAUUCUUAUGUAAUCCAUGUCCUAAUGUAUGUGUACCAUGUUUUCUUAGAUCAUUUAUGUGUAUAAAUGAUGCCAUGAUACUGUAUGCGGCAUUUUAUUGAGAGGGUGCGAACUGAAAGUGUGAAACAGUUGUUUACGUGUUCAUGUUCUUCAACAGUUAUUCUUCCGACUGUUAGAUGCUUUGCCGAAACAUUCAAGGACAUCUGGUAGAAAACAUCUUCAGCCAUGGGUUUUCUGCACAUAUAUUUUUCAGCAUCAAUGUUGCAGUGCUGGAGGCACUCAACUCAAAAUGGCAGGGUAGAAGGAAUAUGUGGAGUACGCUGAGGGACGGGCAGCUGGCUUUUAUACGCGGUUGACAGUUUCGACGAUGAUUGAUAUGAUGCCCUUGUAUAUGUACGAGAGCAUUGGGUCGGAGAGUAGCUGGAGCAGGAAGGUAACAAGGCAACAUCCUUUCACUCU
Lolium rigidum is the source of this 548-nucleotide long non-coding RNA. RefSeq lists it as uncharacterized. The transcript is spliced from 3 exons. The record is from RefSeq and is a predicted model, not a curated record. NCBI's taxonomy places the organism in Eukaryota, Viridiplantae, Streptophyta, Magnoliopsida, Poales, Poaceae.